This 442-nucleotide ribosomal RNA is filed under the name uncultured Bacteroidota bacterium. RNAcentral's name for it is "bacterial SSU rRNA". It matches the Rfam family "Bacterial small subunit ribosomal RNA", at positions 917 to 1359 of the family's 1533-position model. Lineage: Bacteria; Pseudomonadati; Bacteroidota. The record is from RNAcentral.
GGGCCCGCACAAGCGGAGGAACAUGUGGUUUAAUUCGAUGAUACGCGAGGAACCUUACCCGGGCUCGAACGGCAGUGGAAUGUAUGUGAAAGCAUACAGCUAGCAAUAGCCGCUGUCGAGGUGCUGCAUGGUUGUCGUCAGCUCGUGCCGUGAGGUGUCGGCUUAAGUGCCAUAACGAGCGCAACCCUUAUCGUUAGUUACCAUCAGGUAGUGCUGGGGACUCUAGCGAGACUGCCACCGUAAGGUGUGAGGAAGGUGGGGAUGACGUCAAAUCAGCACGGCCCUUACAUCCGGGGCGACACACGUGUUACAAUGGCAGGGACAAAGGGCAGCCACCCGGCGACGGGGCGCUAAUCCCAAAACCCUGUCUCAGUUCGGAUCGGAGUCUGCAACUCGACUCCGUGAAGCCGGAUUCGCUAGUAAUCGCGCAUCAGCCAUGGCG